GAUGAAUUGGCAGAUUAGUGCUUUAGGUUUAGAACUUGAUAAAGUAUUUCAUAUACAUUCAUUA
RNAcentral lists this transfer RNA (64 nucleotides) under Nesophrosyne sp. 17 GMB-2012. RNAcentral describes it as "tRNA-Leu". The record is from RNAcentral. Lineage: Eukaryota; Metazoa; Arthropoda; Insecta; Hemiptera; Cicadellidae.